This is a long non-coding RNA of Helianthus annuus (common sunflower), 1065 nucleotides long. RefSeq lists it as uncharacterized. NCBI's taxonomy places the organism in Eukaryota, Viridiplantae, Streptophyta, Magnoliopsida, Asterales, Asteraceae. The transcript is spliced from 5 exons. The record is from RefSeq and is a predicted model, not a curated record.
CUUCAAUUAAUAUGCCCUAUAAUGGGGUCCUGAUAGGCAUGACCUAACCACAUUAUCGAACACACCCCAAACGUGAAUAAAAAACACCUCAAAAGCAAUUUCCAGUUACCCCUUCAGAUGAGCUGCCAUACCAACUCCUUAUAUUGCAACCAACCACCACUCCACCGGCGUAAUCGAACAAAAAAAGUAAAGGUAAAAAGAGAGAAUGUUCAGGCGGUGAUGGUGCUUACGACGUGGUUUUAAAAUCGCACAGCUGCCACUUCAGGCUGCAAUUCAAACUGCCAGAUCCCUUACAAUCUCCAUAUAUGGAUCCUUUUUUCAAACAACGCUCGAGACAAUCCAGUGCAGACUCACAAGAAGGAUCUUCAAUCACAUACCAGAACAUAUUAUACCUCCCAAAAAUCCAGAGAGAUAGAUGGUAAGAGAGAGAAGAUCGGAAAGAGAGAGGCAAUGAGGAUCGGUGAGAGAGGCAGUGAAGAUCGGAGAAAGAUUAGAAGAUCGAACGGGUGUUCCAUACAACAUCAGAUUCAGAUCUGGUUCAAGUGGUGGAGGUGACGGUGGUUCCUCCUGCCGGAAAACCACUUAGUAGCUACUUGGCGGUGGUGGUCCAUGAUCUAAAAGAUGAUCUGAAAUCCAAAAAGAGGAUCCAGUUCCAAGAUGCUACCAGAUCCAAAAGAUGCUCCAGAUCCGGUUGAAGAUGUUCGAUGUUGAAGAUGAUAUUCCAUAUAACGCCUAGCAACUGCCCUUUCAUUGGUUGGGUCAACCCACCGAUGUGCUUACGGUCAACUAGGAUCAUACCAGGUCUUUUGAGGAACAUCAACAAACUGCAAGCUGAACUGUUUACCCGUGAGCAAGAAAUUCGGAAGAAAAAGAGGGUUAUAUGGUUACUGAUAUUAGCGUUAGUGAUUGGCAGCUUACUUGUUAGCAUUGUUUGUUGUGAUUAAGAAAUAGGUGGCACUUAGUUGGAUUAUCCUUCUUAGUAUGUUAAUGACAUUUGUAGUAUGUACUUGUUGAUGUUUGGUUGAAUCUGAGAAUUUUCUGUGUUAUGGAUUUUUUGGUUUUGUU